UGGGGAAUUUUGGACAAUGGGCGAAAGCCUGAUCCAGCAAUGCCGCGUGUGUGAAGAAGGCCUUCGGGUUGUAAAGCACUUUUGUCCGGAAAGAAAUCCUUGGCUCUAAUACAGUCGGGGGAUGACGGUACCGGAAGAAUAAGCACCGGCUAACUACGUGCCAGCAGCCGCGGUAAUACGUAGGGUGCAAGCGUUAAUCGGAAUUACUGGGCGUAAAGCGUGCGCAGGCGGUUUGCUAAGACCGAUGUGAAAUCCCCGGGCUCAACCUGGGAACUGCAUUGGUGACUGGCAGGCUAGAGUAUGGCAGAGGGGGAUAGAAUUCCACGUGUAGCAGUGAAAUGCGUAGAGAUGUGGAGGAAUACCGAUGGCGAAGGCAGCCCCCUGGGCCAAUACUGACGCUCAUGCACGAAAGCGUGGGGAGCAAACAGGAUUAGAUACCCUGGUAGUCCACGCCCUAAACGAUGUCAACUAGUUGUUGGGGAUUCAUUUCCUUAGUAACGUAGCUAACGCGUGAAGUUGACCGCCUGGGGAGUACGGUCGCAAGAUUAAAACUUAAAUGAAUUGACGGGGUCAUAGCUGUUUCCU
RNAcentral lists this ribosomal RNA (585 nucleotides) under uncultured bacterium. Its description in RNAcentral is "partial 16S ribosomal RNA". It matches the Rfam family "Bacterial small subunit ribosomal RNA", at positions 355 to 1375 of the family's 1533-position model. The record is from RNAcentral.